Molecule: long non-coding RNA, 1064 nt
Filed under: Helianthus annuus (common sunflower)
Lineage: Eukaryota; Viridiplantae; Streptophyta; Magnoliopsida; Asterales; Asteraceae
Description: hypothetical non coding rna
Source: RNAcentral
UUUGAGAUUUUCCACAGUUCUUUCCAAACCCUAUUCACUUUUACGCCUUCAUACGUUCCUGAUCCAUCCAUCAUUUAUUCAUGCCUAAUCAUCUUCGCAAGAUCUUAUAAUCUACUCCGUCGCCGUCCAAAAAGUUCAUGAUUCUCGAUUUUUAGUCAAGAUACCAUAGGUAAAGCUUCUUUAGUUUUUUAUUUAGCAUGAUUUUUGAGGUUUAAUUUCAAGAUUUUAUGGUCGUUUUGUUGGGUUUUGUUUGAAUUUAUAUGAAACAUUCGUUUAGGUUAAGGUACAAUUUUGCAGUUUUUAGUGCAAAUUAUUAUUUAGGUUAAGGUACAAUUUUGCAGUUUUUUCUUUAAUAAUGUAUAAUUAGGUUACGAACUGAUUGUGGAUUUGGAUUUUAGGUUUUGAAUCUUUAGUGUGAUGGAUAUAUGAUCAGUUUUUUAUUUUUAUUUUUAUAAUGCAUAUUAUUAUUGAGGUUAAGACUACGAAUCCGAAGAAGUAUUGUGUCCGUCCCAACACCGGAGUUGUUUCACCUAAAUCAACAUGUGAAAUUAUAGAGUGAUCAAAAUCUUGUGAUGGCUUCAAAGAGGAUAUCACGAGGAGUUUGUGGCAGCGUGGGGUCCGGGAAAUCGAGCUUUAUUUCUUGUAUUCUUCGUGAAAUCCUGAAAAUAUCCGGUGAAGUUCGAAUUUGAGUCAUGAUCUACAUCAAGAUUUAAGACCCCUGUUAAUCGUCUCUAUAAAUAUACGUACAGCUUCAACUCGUUCCAAACCAUUCACCAGCCUUACGCUCUCACCAUUGUUUUUAACCUCUGAAACCAACCUUCUUCUCGGCAACCUGCGACGACAUCACUACCAAGUUUGAAACGCACGCGAACCGUUGUACCAGGCUGAAGGUUUUUUUACAAUUAAUGCAGACAAUAACCAGGAAGAACAUCCGAGAAACCAGUUGAACAGUGGAGUGGUUCCAGAUAGUAUUGAUGUACACUGUUUGGCUGGUCUUAUCAAGGUGUAUGAUGAUUGUUGUAUUAAUAUUUCAUUUAGUUUUUUAAUUUUAUGAUUAAGUUGAU